GGACUUCCUGCAGGAAGGCAAGAGUUGAAGCAGGGGACCCAUGAGGAAACCACUGCGCUGGCCCAGCUCCACCCCAUGCUCCAGUCCAGGCAGAGAUGACAGGUUCUCCUUCAAACAGCUGAGGAAAGAGGUGGAGGCUGAUGCUCAGGUUGCUGCAGUUCCUGCAAGUCACAUGGAGUGUGGAGGAAACUUCAGCCUGUGCAGGAGUCUGGAGCUGCUCAAGAUUGCAUAUCUCUAAUGUGUCAAUGAUAAAGGAGCUUUUGAAAAUGAUAUGUAGUUGAAGGCAGAGUGAGGCAGAGUUUCAGACAGAAGGGCAGGACUAUCUCCUUUUUCACUGCAUUUAUUUCAACCCAAACUCAGCUCUCUUCCAAAGUCCCUGGUGUUCAGCCCCAAGACAAGCUCCGAUGGAGCUGCAGGGCCAGAGACCAGUAGCAUCCUAGCUCGUGUAAGAGGGAGAAGACCUGGCUUCUAGUCCUUGACUUCUUCACUAACCAUCUUUCAUGAGCCUGGGGCUUAUCACUUCACCUCUUUGGACCUCAGUUUCUGCAUCUGUAAAAUGGUGAUUAUCAUCCCUCUUGUAGAAAUCAACAUAAACAAAUUAUCACAUGCUUUUCUUCUUGUCACAUGAAAAGCAACAAUCUCAUAAAGCGGCAGUUUUUCAGGGAGUGUUCUGGGUGCCCUGUAGUGAAU
RNAcentral lists this long non-coding RNA (690 nucleotides) under Homo sapiens (human). RNAcentral's name for it is "HSALNT0095539". The record is from RNAcentral. Lineage: Eukaryota; Metazoa; Chordata; Mammalia; Primates; Hominidae.